Molecule: ribosomal RNA, 208 nt
Filed under: uncultured bacterium
Lineage: Bacteria
Description: partial 16S ribosomal RNA
Rfam family: Bacterial small subunit ribosomal RNA
Source: RNAcentral
ACUCCUACGGGAGGCAGCAGUGGGGAAUAUUGGACAAUGGGGGCAACCCUGAUCCAGCCAUGCCGCGUGAGUGAUGAAGGCCCUAGGGUUGUAAAGCUCUUUUGUGCGGGAAGAUAAUGACGGUACCGCAAGAAUAAGCCCCGGCUAACUUCGUGCCAGCAGCCGCGGUAAUACGUAGGAGGCGAGCGUUAUCCGGAUUUACUGGGCG